RNAcentral lists this ribosomal RNA (483 nucleotides) under uncultured bacterium. RNAcentral's name for it is "bacterial SSU rRNA". It matches the Rfam family "Bacterial small subunit ribosomal RNA", at positions 501 to 981 of the family's 1533-position model. The record is from RNAcentral.
CUACGUGCCAGCAGCCGCGGUAAUACGUAGGGCGCGAGCGUUGUCCGGAAUUAUUGGGCGUAAAGAGCUCGUAGGCGGCUGGUCGCGUCUGUCGUGAAAUCCUCUGGCUUAACUGGGGGCUUGCGGUGGGUACGGGCCGGCUUGAGUGCGGUAGGGGAGACUGGAACUCCUGGUGUAGCGGUGGAAUGCGCAGAUAUCAGGAGGAACACCGAUGGCGAAGGCAGGUCUCUGGGCUGUAACUGACGCUGAGAAGCGAAAGCAUGGGGAGCGAACAGGAUUAGAUACCCUGGUAGUCCAUGCCGUAAACGUUGGGCACUAGGUGUGGGGGACAUUCCACGUUUUCCGCGCCGUAGCUAACGCAUUAAGUGCCCCGCCUGGGGAGUACGGCCGCAAGGCUAAAACUCAAAGAAAUUGACGGGGGCCCGCACAAGCGGCGGAGCAUGCGGAUUAAUUCGAUGCAACGCGAAGAACCUUACCAAGGCU